Molecule: ribosomal RNA, 303 nt
Filed under: uncultured bacterium
Lineage: Bacteria
Description: partial 16S ribosomal RNA
Rfam family: Bacterial small subunit ribosomal RNA
Source: RNAcentral
AGCAGUCGCCGCGGGAAUACGUAGGGGGCAAGCGUUAUCCGGAAUAACUGGGCGUAAAGGGUGCGCAGGUGGUUUAACAAGUUAGUGGUGAAAGGCAUAGGCUCAACCAAUGUAAGCCAUUAAAACUGUUUAACUUGAGUGCAGGAGAGGAAAGUGGAAUUCCUAGUGUAGCGGUGAAAUGCGUAGAGAUUAGGAGGAACACCAGUGGCGAAGGCGGCUUUUUGGCCUGUAACUGACACUGAGGCACGAAAGCGUGGGGAGCAAACAGGAUUAGAUACCCGUGUAGUCCCUGUCUCUUAUACA